RNAcentral lists this ribosomal RNA (345 nucleotides) under uncultured bacterium. RNAcentral describes it as "bacterial SSU rRNA". It matches the Rfam family "Bacterial small subunit ribosomal RNA", at positions 8 to 334 of the family's 1533-position model. The record is from RNAcentral.
AGGGUUUGAUUCUGGCUCAGGAUGAACGCUGGCGGCGUGCUUAACACAUGCAAGUCGAACGGAGUGCUCAUGACGGAGUUUUCGGACAACGGAUUGAGUUACUUAGUGGCGGACGGGUGAGUAACGCGUGAGUAACCUGCCUUGGAGUGGGGAAUAACAGCUGGAAACAGCUGCUAAUACCGCAUGAUGCAGUUGGGUCGCAUGGCUCUGACUGCCAAAGAUUUAUCGCUCUGAGAUGGACUCGCGUCUGAUUAGCUAGUUGGCGGGGUAACGGCCCACCAAGGCGACAAUCAGUAGCCGGACUGAGAGGUUGGCCGGCCACAUUGGGACUGAGACACGGCCCAG